RNAcentral lists this unclassified non-coding RNA (277 nucleotides) under Hevea brasiliensis (rubber tree). Lineage: Eukaryota; Viridiplantae; Streptophyta; Magnoliopsida; Malpighiales; Euphorbiaceae. The record is from RNAcentral.
GCUUUUGCAAGAGCCAAAGGUGAUUGUUGCAUGAAAACUUGAUCAGAAGCUAGCUUUGAAUACAAGGCGAGGCAGCAUGAGCUUGGAUCGACCCAAAUGAGAUGAUGCUUCAUAUUUUCUUCAUCACUGUCUGAGGGCCUUGUUGUGUCUAUACCAUUUUCUCCAGUUUCAGAAGCAUCUCUAUGAGAAUCCCUAGCAGAAGAAUAUAUUAGAUGUCCAGAUGCAAGCAAACUCACAUCUGAAUCCACCGUGUCGUAUUCCCGGAUUUCAAUUCCAU